RNAcentral lists this ribosomal RNA (630 nucleotides) under Triticum aestivum (bread wheat). Its description in RNAcentral is "partial small subunit ribosomal RNA". Lineage: Eukaryota; Viridiplantae; Streptophyta; Magnoliopsida; Poales; Poaceae. The record is from RNAcentral.
AUGGACGGCGAUGGAGAUCCCCACGACGGGCAUCACCCUCAAAAUCCUGCCCCUUCUGACCCUCGACACCCCCAGCUUGAGGAGGAAGGUAAUCCCCUCCCUCAUGAAGCGCAGAAGGAAAUGGCAGCAGUGAGGAGAGCGAAUAAGGUAGCGCGGAAGAUACGGCGUCUGAGGGCCAAAGCUCUCGCGCGGGGGCAGGUAAAGCUACAGAAGGAGGAUCUGUCCCAAAUCACACCAGGAUCGUCCGUAGCCCUCGCCAUGGGAACCCAUGGCUACUCUGAAACUCCUCCUGACACUCAACACAGCGGGGAGCAAGCUCUGAAGCCCGGGCAAGUGCUUCGUACGGGAGUGUUGGUGGAAGCGCCUGACAAAAUCCCCUCUUCCGCCGGCACUGAUGUGUCAGCAGCACCCCCAAGACCACAUAUUCGCCAGAGCGUUUUGUACUCAGAUCGCCCAAGGCGAUCCAGGAAACCUACAUCAGAUAAGCUACCGGUUGAGGAGCAUGCCGGUGAGGUGAGCAGCAGGGAGUUUCAAGUCUCGACACAUCAUCAGUCACGCUCCACACGUGAGUCAACUUACAGGCCGCCUCACUCGGUCACGUGGAAGCCAGGAACUGGAACUAACGAAUAA